UACGUAGGGUGCGAGCGUUGUCCGGAUUUAUUGGGCGUAAAGAGCGUGUAGGCGGCCAGGUAGGUCUGCUGUGAAAACUCGAGGCUCAACCUCGAGACGUCGGCGGAAACCAUCUGGCUAGAGUCCGGAAGAGGAGAGUGGAAUUCCUGGUGUAGCGGUGGAAUGCGCAGAUAUCAGGAGGAACACCAAUAGCGAAGGCAGCUCGCUGGGACGGUACUGACACUGAGGCGCGAAAGCGUGGGGAGCGAACAGG
RNAcentral lists this ribosomal RNA (253 nucleotides) under uncultured bacterium. RNAcentral describes it as "partial 16S ribosomal RNA". It matches the Rfam family "Bacterial small subunit ribosomal RNA", at positions 524 to 776 of the family's 1533-position model. The record is from RNAcentral.